RNAcentral lists this ribosomal RNA (222 nucleotides) under uncultured bacterium. RNAcentral describes it as "partial 16S ribosomal RNA". It matches the Rfam family "Bacterial small subunit ribosomal RNA", at positions 523 to 742 of the family's 1533-position model. The record is from RNAcentral.
UAACGUAGGGUGCGAGCGUUGUCCGGAAUUAUUUGGGCGUAAAGGGCUCGUAGGCGGUUUGUCGCGUCGGGAGUGAAACCCAGGUGCUUAACACCUGGCUUGCUUUCGAUACGGGCAGAACUAGAGGUAUUCAGGGGAGAACGGAAUUCCCGGAUGUAGCGGUGGAAUGACGUAGAGAUCGGGAAGGACAUCGGUGGCGAAGGCGGUCUGCUGGCCGUUCUG